Molecule: ribosomal RNA, 459 nt
Filed under: uncultured archaeon
Lineage: Archaea
Description: bacterial SSU rRNA
Rfam family: Archaeal small subunit ribosomal RNA
Source: RNAcentral
CACAAGGGGUGAAGCCUGCGGUUCAAUUGGAGUCAACGCCGGAAAUCUUACCGGGGGCGACAGCAGAGUGAAGGUCAAGCUGAAGACUUUACCAGACAAGCUGAGAGGAGGUGCAUGGCCGUCGCCAGCUCGUGCCGUGAGGUGUCCUGUUAAGUCAGGUAACGAGCGAGAUCCCUAUCUCUAGUUGCUACUGCUGCUCUCAGGAGUAGUAGAGCUAAUUAGAGGGACCGCCGCCGCUGAGGCGGAGGAAGGAGGGGGCUACNGCAGGUCAGUAUGCCCCGAAACCCUCGGGCCACACGCGGGCUGCAAUGGUAAGGACAAUGGGUUCCUAUUCCGAAAGGAGGAGGCAAUCCCCAAACCUUACCCCAGUUAUGAUUGAGGGCUGAAACUCUGCCCUCWUGAAUAUGGAAUCCCUAGUAACCGCGUGUCAUUAUCGCGCGGUGAAUACGUCCCUGCUCC